UCGCUUCAGCAGCAAGUAUACUGAAAUUGGAACGAUACAGAGAAGAUUAGCACGGCCCUGCACAAGGGUGAUAUGCAAACUCAUGAAGCGUUUCAAAAUGGA
This is a small nuclear RNA of Lynx canadensis (Canada lynx), 102 nucleotides long. The record is from Ensembl. Lineage: Eukaryota; Metazoa; Chordata; Mammalia; Carnivora; Felidae.